This 354-nucleotide ribosomal RNA is filed under the name uncultured bacterium. RNAcentral describes it as "bacterial SSU rRNA". It matches the Rfam family "Bacterial small subunit ribosomal RNA", at positions 30 to 386 of the family's 1533-position model. The record is from RNAcentral.
AUUGAACGCUGGCGGCAUGCCUUACACAUGCAAGUCGAACGGCAGCACGGGAGCAAUCCUGGUGGCGAGUGGCGAACGGGUGAGUAAUAUAUCGGAACGUGCCCAGUCGUGGGGAUAACGUAGCGAAAGCUACGCUAAUACCGCAUACGAUCUAUGGAUGAAAGCGGGGGAUCGCAAGACCUCGCGCGAUUGGAGCGGCCGAUAUCAGAUUAGGUAGUUGGUGAGGUAAAGGCUCACCAAGCCGACGAUCUGUAGCUGGUCUGAGAGGACGACCAGCCACACUGGGACUGAGACACGGCCCAGACUCCUACGGGAGGCAGCAGUGGGGAACUUUGGACAAUGACGCAAGUCUGA